This 243-nucleotide long non-coding RNA is filed under the name Gossypium raimondii (Peruvian cotton). RNAcentral's name for it is "long non-coding RNA (GRAI_LNC002378)". The record is from RNAcentral. Lineage: Eukaryota; Viridiplantae; Streptophyta; Magnoliopsida; Malvales; Malvaceae.
AUUAAUAAAAAGAAAAGUUGUUCAUUUGAUUGAACAAUGAAAUGGAAUACCUGUGAUGAAAACGAUUCUUUUAGAAAAGUUGUCAUCAGAAAUGAAAUUUCGAAUAUUAUUGACGUCUAGUAAGUGAUUAAUAUUAUUUGCAAUAACUGGAUGUGUCACUCCAAGCACGAAAGUGGGGGAAAAUCGAAACCCCGGAAAAAAAUGAAAUGGGGAUAAAAAAUGGAAAAGGAAAAAAGAAAAAUG